CGGAAAUAGCUCAGUUGGUAGAGCAUUAGCCUUCCAAGCUAAGGGUCGCGAGUUCGAACCUCGUCUUCC
RNAcentral lists this transfer RNA (69 nucleotides) under human gut metagenome. It matches the Rfam family "tRNA". Rfam says of the family: Transfer RNA (tRNA) molecules are approximately 80 nucleotides in length. Their secondary structure includes four short double-helical elements and three loops (D, anti-codon, and T loops). The record is from RNAcentral.